MicroRNA precursor from Sorghum bicolor (sorghum), 109 nucleotides. It matches the Rfam family "MIR5565 microRNA precursor family". NCBI's taxonomy places the organism in Eukaryota, Viridiplantae, Streptophyta, Magnoliopsida, Poales, Poaceae. The record is from Rfam.
GCAGUCGGAUUCACAUCAAUCCACAUGUGUUGGAGUGGUUUGGAGUGGAACCUGAAUUAAAUUCCACCUCAAUCCACUCCAACACAUGUGAAUUGAGGUGAAUCCGACA